CAGUAGCCGCGGGAAUACGUAGGGUGCGAGCGUUAAUCGGAAUUACUGGGCGUAAAGCGUGCGCAGGCGGUUGUGUAAGACAGGUGUGAAAUCCCCGGGCUUAACCUGGGAACUGCGCUUGUGACUGCACAGCUAGAGUAUGGCAGAGGGGGGUGGAAUUCCGCGUGUAGCAGUGAAAUGCGUAGAGAUGUGGAGGAACACCGAUGGCGAAGGCAGCCCCCUGGGCCAAUACUGACGCUCAUGCACGAAAGCGUGGGGAGCAAACAGGAUUAGAUACCCCUGUAGUCCCUGUCUCUUAUAC
RNAcentral lists this ribosomal RNA (301 nucleotides) under uncultured bacterium. RNAcentral describes it as "partial 16S ribosomal RNA". It matches the Rfam family "Bacterial small subunit ribosomal RNA", at positions 509 to 807 of the family's 1533-position model. The record is from RNAcentral.